AAACUGUUGCUGCGCGUUACUUAAUAACGUGAUGUCACUGUUACGCAUCAUCAUGUAAUGCAGCUCUGCUUCAUAUGCAGCGGCAGAUCACACAGCAGCUCAGACAGCAGCUGUGUGAUCUGAGCUUCAGAGGGAUGACGAGUUUCUCUGCUUACUGAGAAGAAGAAAAAGUAAAUCACAUACCGACAAACAUCGUUGGAUUUCUCUGUUUGUUGUUGGAAACUUCGCCUGCUUCAGCCUCCACAAACACGAGAGAGAAACAAAAAGAGAUCACUGCACAUCAGCCGAGCUUCUGCCAGCUGUCCUUUACCACGGGAACCAUGGUGCCAGCAGUCCUCAAGUUGUAUUUCAUUGGAACGGCGCUGAGCAUCCUUGCAGUCUUUUAUGGAUUAGUAGACUCCUUUGGUGGCCUGAUGUACGUCCAGGACCAUCACUACAUUUUGGACCUGGACCAGCAGACGCAGGGGCAGCUCUCCUCAAGCAACCACCAGAGAGAAUCGCCUGUGACUAAAAACAUCGGCUCAUAAAGGAAAACGUCUUGAUGAUGAUUUACAAAAACAAUGGCAGCUGGAUGGACUUGCCGGCUACUGAUCAGCAGACAGUGACACUUUUAUUAUCACUGGAGAUAAAUGGUCCUGGUAGCAUUGCUAGUAUGGACUUCAUUGUAUAAUGUCUGACUUGCUGGAUGUAUUCUUCAUUAGACAGCUUGUUGAUAUGAAUGCAUAAUCCCCACAGCAUGUGUUUGUAUUUUGCUCUACUUUGUAUCAUCUGCUGUACAAACACUGUAGCAGCUAGUCUGUGUUAAAGCCACAAACCUGAUAGGAAAUGUAACAGCACUACUGAACAAUGAUUUGCACUAAAAACGAGACUGUUUUGUCUUUUGUCUAUUUUGAGCUGGGGUUUUUUUCAAAUAAAAUGAAUUUUAAAAAGUCA
Molecule: long non-coding RNA, 933 nt
Organism: Sebastes umbrosus (honeycomb rockfish)
Lineage: Eukaryota; Metazoa; Chordata; Actinopteri; Perciformes; Sebastidae
Exons: 2
Source: RefSeq, a predicted model, not a curated record